RNAcentral lists this ribosomal RNA (253 nucleotides) under uncultured bacterium. RNAcentral's name for it is "partial 16S ribosomal RNA". It matches the Rfam family "Bacterial small subunit ribosomal RNA", at positions 524 to 776 of the family's 1533-position model. The record is from RNAcentral.
UACGUAGGAGGCAAGCGUUGUCCGGAGUUACUGGGCGUAAAGCGCACGCAGGCGGUCGCAUCAGUCUGGGGUGACAGUUCCCGGCUUAACCGGAAAAGGACUCUGGAAACUGUGCGACUUGAGGGCUUCAGAGGGAUGUGGAAUUCCAGGUGGAGUGGUGAAAUGCGUAGAGAUCUGGAGGAACAUCCGUGGCGAAGGCGACUACCUGGACCAGCACUGACACUGAGGCACGAAAGCGUGGGGAGCAAACAGG